GUGCUUGCUUCAGCAGCACAUACACUGAAAUUGGAGCAAUACAGAGAAGAUUAGCAUGGCCCCUGGCUCAAGGAUGACAUGCAAAUUUGUGAAGCAUUCCAUAUUUUU
RNAcentral lists this small nuclear RNA (108 nucleotides) under Dasypus novemcinctus (nine-banded armadillo). The record is from RNAcentral. Lineage: Eukaryota; Metazoa; Chordata; Mammalia; Cingulata; Dasypodidae.